RNAcentral lists this ribosomal RNA (720 nucleotides) under uncultured bacterium. Its description in RNAcentral is "bacterial SSU rRNA". It matches the Rfam family "Bacterial small subunit ribosomal RNA", at positions 56 to 807 of the family's 1533-position model. The record is from RNAcentral.
UGCAGUCGAACGAACCUUCGGGUUAGUGGCGGACGGGUGAGUAACGUGAGAGAAUCUGCCCUCAGGAGGGGGAUAACAGUUGGAAACGACUGCUAAUACCCCAUAUGCCGAGAGGUGAAACGAAUUUUGCCUGGGGAUGACUCUUUUCUGAUUAGCUUGUUAAAAGGGCUAAAAGCCUACCAAGGCUUCGAUCAGUAGCUGGUCUGACAGGACGAUCAGCCACACUGGGACUGAGAUACGGCCCAGACUCCUACGGGAGGCAGCAGUGGGGAAUUUUCCGCAAUGGGCGCAAGCCUGACGGAGCAACGCCGCGUGAGGGAUGAAGGCCUUUGGGCUGUAAACCUCUUUUCUCCCGGAAGAAGAUCUGACGGUACUUGAGGAAUAAUUUAAGCCACGGCUAAUUCCGUGCCAGCAGCCGCGGUAAUACGGGAGUGGCAAGCGUUAUCCGGAAUUAUUGGGCGUAAAGCGUCCGCAGGCGGCCGUUUAAGUCUGUUGUUAAAUCGUGGAGCUCAACUCCAUCACGGCAAUGGAAAACUGUUCGGCUUGAGUAUGGUAGGGGCAGAGGGAAUUUCCCGGUGUACCGGUGAAAUGCGUAGAUAUCGGGAAGAAACACCAGGUGGCAAAAGCGCUCUGCUGGGGCCAUUUACUGAACCCUCAUGGGACGAAAGCCAGGGGACCCGAAGGGGAUUAGAUUACCCCCUGUAGUCCCUGGCCGUAAAA